ACGAACGCUGGCGGCGUGCUUAACACAUGCAAGUCGAACGGUGAAGCGCCUUCCUUUUUGGUGGGUGUGGAUGAGUGGCGAACGGGUGAGUAACACGUGAGUAACCUGCCCCCUUCUUCUGGAUAACCGCAUGAAAGUGUGGCUAAUACGGGAUAUUCUGGGUCUGUCGCAUGAUGGGUCUGGGAAAGAUAUUGUUUCGGUGGGGGAUGGGCUCGCGGCCUAUCAGCUUGUUGGUGGGGUGAUGGCCUACCAAGGCGGUGACGGGUAGCCGGCCUGAGAGGGUGGACGGUCACACUGGGACUGAGACACGGCCCAGACUCCUACGGGAGGCAGCAGUGGGGAAUAUUGCACAAUGGGCGCAAGCCUGAUGCAGCGACGCCGCGUGGGGGAUGGAGGCCUUCGGGUUGUGAACCUCUUUCGCCAGUGAAGCAGGCCUGCCUCGUUUGUGGGUGGGUUGACGGUAGCUGGAUAAGAAGCGCCGGCUAACUACGUG
Molecule: ribosomal RNA, 493 nt
Filed under: uncultured bacterium
Lineage: Bacteria
Description: partial 16S ribosomal RNA
Rfam family: Bacterial small subunit ribosomal RNA
Source: RNAcentral